AAGUCGUAACAAGGUUUCCGUAGGUGAACCUGCGGAAGGAUCAUUAAUGAAGUCUGGGUUUUAAACCCUCUCUCUUCUACACACUUGUGAACUUACACUGUUGCUUUGGCAGGUCUCCUGAAGGAUGUAAAUCCCGACGGCCAGGUCGAAAGACGCCUGCCAAAGACAUUUAUCCACCCUUUUUUAUUGUCUGAUUUUGUUUUAAACAAAUUAUAAAAAAA
This 221-nucleotide unclassified non-coding RNA is filed under the name plant metagenome. RNAcentral's name for it is "partial contains small subunit ribosomal RNA and internal transcribed spacer 1". The stretch from base 1 to 46 matches the Rfam family "Eukaryotic small subunit ribosomal RNA", at positions 1786 to 1831 of the family's 1831-position model. The record is from RNAcentral.